UGGUGAAUUCGUUUCAAUUAGUCAGUCUUCAUCAACAAUUCAACGUCCAAAAAAGAUACAGGACAGGGCAGAGGAUUGGCCUUCCAAUUUGGCUUCUGAAACCAUGUCCUUUUCUCACAGGUAAAGUGUGAACAAAUAACGCUUAUUGGACUAAUUAAAGGUUAGCGGUUAUCAACCAUAAUAGGAAAGCUGCAGGUCUUGAAAACCAAAAAGCAUAAAAAUAAAAAGUAAUGACUCUUGUCCAUGGUGUUAAGAAAAACCAAACCUGUACACUAGGAAAUAGCAGGCCAUUUAAUGCAAAUUGCAUGCUAAAGGAUUAAUAGAUGAAGUCAAGCAUAGGCAGAGAGGUACCAAAAGACCAUGGAAAUCUUUGCUAGUUGUAGCCAUUUUAACCAUGAAGAAGAUUGGACUAGGGUUGCCUUAUUUGCAACAAUCAAGAAAAGAAAAUGAAAAUUCUAGGGGAGUUAAAAUGGGGCAAGAAAAUUAAACAAUCUAGCAUUUGACAACUGAAAUCUUAAACAUGUUAAACCAGAGUAAUCUACAGGCACAGGGAAAAAAAACGAAAAAUACCCUAAAAAAAUCAAUGACAAGAAACUUACGAGAGAGAGAGAGAUUGCACACAAAAUCAGGACCAGUUCUUAAUCUUUCGAAUUUCCAAAAUAAGAACCUUAAAAAUGAAAAGCAAGACAACAACAGCAAAUUUGAACUCAUGGAGACUGUUCAAUUGUUCAACAUCAACUUAAAACUAAUAGAUACCAAAGGCAGCUAUUCCAAGUAAGUUGAAAAGACAUGAUACUGAGAUAAGAAGAUUCAUAGAACUAAUUCAAUCUGUUGGGGAAGUUGAUCAAACCUAUCAAUAUCAAGUAGGAUUUUGUAUGAAAUUCUGCAUUAACGAACUCUAUACCAAAAAUAAAUGCUGUCAAUAUUAUGCAAAGUACAAUCUGUUCCCCAAUUUAUACACAGCAAUUCUGAAAAUAGUCAACAGUUUCCAGUAAACCCAACAUUUAAUCAGCCACAAAUUCUUAUGUAAAGCAGAAAGCGUAUUAAUUCGCAUCUAAUUUUUAGCAGAAAGAGUUUAAUUCAUCUGUGUCCAGCAGAAAAAGAGAAACCUUAUUUCCACAUAAAAAGGCCAAACGAAAGGGGGAGGCUUCUAAAAGAAGAUUUGCACGAAAUAUUGACCGCAAAAAUUGACAUCAGGACAGAAGCUCUAUCAUUUCUUCAAAGUCUCACUGAUUAACUCGUUGAUUCUCUCUCUUUUCUGACUAAACAUUUCCACUUUCAGAUCUCAAACUUUCUAACAGAUUCACAUUCCUAUCCAAUAUUUUGACCGAAACUUUCUGAAGAAAAGAAAAAGUAUACAGCAAAAGUAAACAUAAAAUUAUUCGAAACCGCUUUUAUAGAAUAAAAUAAAGUUCACGGUUCGAUUAGACUUGAUGCAGAAUUUACCAGCAACGGAUUGAAGCAGCGAGGCUUGGAGUUUCUCAGUGAAUCGGCGUUGAAGAAAUCGGAAAACAGAAGAAAAUUAUUGAAAAGAAAAAAAAAUCGAAAUUGAAAUUAGUUCGCG
This 1564-nucleotide long non-coding RNA is filed under the name Theobroma cacao (cacao). RNAcentral describes it as "long non-coding RNA (TCAC_LNC000044)". Lineage: Eukaryota; Viridiplantae; Streptophyta; Magnoliopsida; Malvales; Malvaceae. The record is from RNAcentral.